UACAGAGGGUGCGAGCGUUGUCCGGAAUCACUGGGCGUAAAGGGCGCGUAGGUGGCCCGACAAGCCUGUGGUGAAAGCUCGACGCUCAACGUCGAGUCGGCCAUAGAUACUGUUGGGCUGGAGCACUGUAGAGGCUCAUGGAAUUCCGGGUGUAGCGGUGGAAUGCGUAGAGAUCCGGAAGAACACCGGUGGCGAAGGCGGUGAGCUGGGCAGUAGCUGACACUGAGGCGCGACAGCGUGGGGAGCAAACAGG
Molecule: ribosomal RNA, 253 nt
Filed under: uncultured bacterium
Lineage: Bacteria
Description: partial 16S ribosomal RNA
Rfam family: Bacterial small subunit ribosomal RNA
Source: RNAcentral